UUUAGCCGCGGAGCUUACAAUUGAAACUGGAGGGGCUGGAGUGUCGGAGAGGGUAAGUGGACUUCCCAAGUGUAGGCGGUGAAAUGCGUAAGAUAUUUGGGAGGGACUACCAGUGGCGAAGGCGACUACCUGGACGAUAAACUGACGCUGAGGCACGAAAAGCUAGGGGAGCAAACAGGAUUAGAUACCCUGGUAGUCCUAGCCGUAAACGAUGGGUACUAGGUGUAGGAGGGUUUCGAUACCUUCUGUGCCGCAGCAAACGCAUUAAGUACCCCGCCUGGGGAGUACGUGCGCAAGCAUGAAACUCAAAGGAAUUGACGGGGGCCCGCACAAGCGGUGGAGCAUGUGGUUUAAUUCGAAGCAACGCGAAGAACCUUACCAGGCCUUGACAUCAUCUAGAAGGCUGUGGAAACACAGUUGUCCUUUGGACUGGAUGACAGGUGGUGCAUGGUCGUCGUCAGCUCGUGUCGUGAGAUGUUGGGUUAAGUCCCGCAACGAGCGCAACCCUUGCCUUUAGUUGCCAGCAUUAAGUUGGGGACUCUAAAGGGACUGCCGGUGACAAAUCGGAGGAAGGUGGGGAUGACGUCAGAUCAUCAUGCCCCUUAUGGUCUGGGCUACACACGUGCUACAAUGGGUGGUACAGUGGGCAGCGAAGCCGUGAGGCGGAGCGAAUCCCAGAAAGCCACUCUCAGUUCGGAUUGCAGGCUGCAACUCGCCUGCAUGAAGUCGGAAUCGCUAGUAAUCGCAGGUCAGCAUACUGCGGUGAAUACGUUCCCGGGCCUUGUACACACCGCCCGUCACACCACGAAAGUUCGCAACACCCGAAGCCGGUGGCCUAACCGCAAGGAGGGAGCCGUCGAAGGUGUGGCGGAUGAUUGGGGUGAAGUCGUAACAAGGUAGCCA
RNAcentral lists this ribosomal RNA (903 nucleotides) under uncultured bacterium. RNAcentral describes it as "bacterial SSU rRNA". It matches the Rfam family "Bacterial small subunit ribosomal RNA", at positions 608 to 1502 of the family's 1533-position model. The record is from RNAcentral.